AGGACUAUCAGGAAGUAGCCUCAGGGCUGGUGUAUGUCAAUUGGUAGUCUGGGAGAGAAGCUUGGGAGUUGGAAGCAUAAUCACCUGAAAAGAGGCAGCAACUGCUUUCAGAGGAUGUUUUGGAAGUACAUGAUCAGGAGAUAGUAGCUCACCAGCAGUGGCCCCGGGGCCUAUCCCAGUUUACCAAGCAAGGAGAAGCCUGUGAAGCUCUUGCUGGAGUCAGAUUGAACUGGAUUCUGUUUUCUGGCCAACAGAGAUGGGAGCCAGAGGGGGUGAAUAUUAUCCUUUAUCCUGGACUUCUGGUCCCCCUGCAAGAGAGGCUUGAAGACUAUGCUGCACAUCAAUAUGGCGACCCUCCACAUUGUUCAGAGAGAGGAAAAAAAUUCUCUGUGUGUGUCAGUGGGACAGACAACAGGCCCCACCUGUCUACAAACCAUGAGGCUGUGGGUUUUGGUGGGAUAGGCAACAGGCUGGAACUCUGGAGCUUCUGAGUCCUGAUCCCAAAUCUCAUUACUUCCAAGCCUUGUUGAAAGAAUAUAAACAAAUCUCCAUGCAUUCUAGCUCACUUUACUGGUCUGUUAAUAUCUCCAGAGCCUAGCAUGGUACCCUACAAAUAACAAGAAAUUAAUCUAAAUUUUAUUAAUUAUUUCUUAAGUUGGAAAAAGAAUGUUAACUGAACGUCUCCUCAGGUGGAUAGCCUAAAGUCAGGAAAUCUCUUUGAGGGCAAAAUAUUUUAAAAAGAAACUUAAAUCCCAGCAUCUAUAAUUUCUACAUGUAACUGGUACUUAUUAAAUGCUCUAACUGACCUCAAAUCAUGCCGCAGACACAUACCAAGAUGCAUGUGACCCACAGACAAGUCAUUUAACCUUCACUGUUUUUCAGACAAAUCUCCAAGCCAAUAGAGUAUAGAUGAGUUGCCUUUCUGCAUUAGGGGAGGGAAUUUCCAUCUCACUUGCAGCCAUGAAAUCUUUAUUCAGCACCAUAUAAUUGUUUUAGGGUCUGCUUUUGAGGAUAUUAAAGCAAUGACACUUGGGCAUUUAUAAACAUAGAACAAUGCUCCAGUAGGUGUUUAUUAAUUAUAAAAGCAUAGACACAAUGAUUAGAUACCAACUACAAUUCCUUUACAAUUACAUUAGAUCAUAGAUUUAGAUAUGACAGGAAGAGUGGCAGUCAUUUACUUUGAUCUUCUUACUUUUCAUAUUAUUAUACAGAGAUCCAGAGAAUUAAAUAAAGUAAAGCACCUAAGGUAAUACA
RNAcentral lists this long non-coding RNA (1254 nucleotides) under Monodelphis domestica (gray short-tailed opossum). RNAcentral's name for it is "lncRNA (ENSMODG00000030883.2)". Lineage: Eukaryota; Metazoa; Chordata; Mammalia; Didelphimorphia; Didelphidae. The record is from RNAcentral.